GAAUCUAUGGUUCAUUUAGUUGAUUAAAAGGGAAGCAGGUUGAAGUCCUGCACGGUCCCGCCACUGUGAGAUGGAUGAAAGCAGAUUCCACUGGCUAUGCUGGGAAGGAUGCAAGUAAGACGAAAUCGAGUCAGGAGACCUGCCAAAGAUUGUUU
Molecule: non-coding RNA, 155 nt
Filed under: Fusobacterium varium
Lineage: Bacteria; Fusobacteriati; Fusobacteriota; Fusobacteriia; Fusobacteriales; Fusobacteriaceae
Source: RNAcentral